Molecule: ribosomal RNA, 913 nt
Filed under: Colletotrichum gloeosporioides
Lineage: Eukaryota; Fungi; Ascomycota; Sordariomycetes; Glomerellales; Glomerellaceae
Description: SSU rRNA
Rfam family: Eukaryotic small subunit ribosomal RNA
Source: RNAcentral
AUAAUGGCGUUGUUAGCAAUUAUACAGCGAAACUGCGAAUGGCUCAUUAUAUAAGUUAUCGUUUAUUUGAUAGUACCUUACUACUUGGAUAACCGUGGUAAUUCUAGAGCUAAUACAUGCUAAAAAUCCCGACUUACGAAGGGAUGUAUUUAUUAGAUUAAAAACCAAUGCCCUUCGGGGCUCACUGGUGAUUCAUAAUAACUUCUCGAAUCGCAUGGCCUUGCGCCGGCGAUGGUUCAUUCAAAUUUCUUCCCUAUCAACUUUCGAUGCUAGAGUAGUGUUCUAGCAUGGUUACAACGGGUAACGGAGGGUUAGGGCUCGACCCCGGAGAAGGAGCCUGAGAAACGGCUACUACAUCCAAGGAAGGCAGCAGGCGCGCAAAUUACCCAAUCCCGACACGGGGAGGUAGUGACGAUAAAUACUGAUACAGGGCUCUUUUGGGUCUUGUAAUUGGAAUGAGUACAAUUUAAAUCCCUUAACGAGGAACAAUUGGAGGGCAAGUCUGGUGCCAGCAGCCGCGGUAAUUCCAGCUCCAAUAGCGUAUAUUAAAGUUGUUGUGGUUAAAAAGCUCGUAGUAGAACCUUGGGCCUGGCUGGCCGGUCCGCCUCACCGCGUGCACUGGUCCGGCCGGGCCUUUCCCCCUGUGGAACCUCAUGCCCUUCACUGGGUGUGUGGGAAAACAGGACUUUUACUUUGAAAAAAUUAGAGUGCUCCAGGCAGGCCUAUGCUCGAAUACAUUAGCAUGGAAUAAUAGAAUAGGACGUGUGGUUCUAUUUUGUUGGUUUCUAGGACCGCCGUAAUGAUUAAUAGGGACAGUCGGGGGCAUCAGUAUUCAAUUGUCAGAGGUGAAAUUCUUGGAUUUAUUGAAGACUAACUACUGCGAAAGCAUUUGCCAGGGAUGGUUUCCUUUAUC